RNA transcript from Paramacrobiotus metropolitanus, 1602 nucleotides. RefSeq lists it as uncharacterized. The record is from RefSeq and is a predicted model, not a curated record. NCBI's taxonomy places the organism in Eukaryota, Metazoa, Tardigrada, Eutardigrada, Parachela, Macrobiotidae. The transcript is spliced from 11 exons.
AUAAAAAGGCGAACAGCUGCUGAGACUAUUUUUGGAACCACAUAACUCGCACUAUUAUAGUGAAACUAUAGUGCAGUUAUACCGAAAGCGUUCAUGCCAUGUAGACAUCUGAUUGUCAGUUGUUGACUGGCAGAUUGAGGUAUAAUCGGCUCUGCAGUCAUUUUGUAGAUACCUUUUAGGUGUAGGCUGAGGUGGGAUCGAUGCCGCAGGUUACAUUUGCGAUUCCAUUUCGUGCCUCUUUAUCGAGCGUGUGGCUGGCGUACAAUAACGGCCUCUAUAUAUAUGGACAACAUACCGGAUGGACGGAAAGCACCAUCCCCGGAAAGCAGGCGUCGGGCUCGGUUAUCCUUCGAUGAUGAUGAUGAAGACGAUUACGAUAUUCAAUCUGCACGCACAGGAAAUAGGUCAGCAUUCAACAGCGACAUGCAGCGGCCAAAGAUGGUGUACUCCAGGGCGGAAGACGAAGAAGCUGGUUUUAUGGAAACCAAGCCUAUCAUCGCGCGAACAUUAGCCAGGCAGUCAAUUGAUAAACAUAUCACUGAACAAGAAGUGGAAGCAAUUGCUUUAGAUGGACUUGGAGGGAGAGAUGACGAAGAAUCAAGAUACCACAAAGACCGACCACGAGCGCCAAGAGUUCCCUUUCGAGGCAGCAGAGUUAGCACGGACGACCAGCAUAGCGAAGAAUUGCGUCGGCAUUUCCAACGGCGCAGCUCCUUGCGUAAAGCACCGGAAGUCGCAGCUGGCAACUUGGACAUGGGAACUGGAUUGUCUUCGGAUCGCAUUUCCUCUCCGAACCCGCCAGGGACAAAUGAAAAAAUUGAUGCUUGGCUGGACGAGAUGAAACGGAAUCGGCCGCGUUCGGCUGCUGUUACAAAGAUUCAGUAUUCAAACCCAAUGCCGGACACGGAAACAUUAAUGCAGGGAUGGCCGAGUGGUAUGGAGCACAUGUUGCGUUAUCCAGAACAAACCAUUUCCAAUCUCGACUGUUCUCUGGAGGAAUAUAUCGAUAUUAUUUGUGUCUGUUGUAAGGUGUUAUUGACCUUGGACAUUUUGAAGUCAAGGAUGAAAGCUAUGGAUAAAUGCAGAAUAAAUUUCAAAGAUGUUUUUGACGAAAUUAUAGCAAGUAGCAAGGUGGAAUGCUGGUGGAAUGAUCUGUUCAGCUUAUAUUUAGAUUUCAAGGACAUUCCAAGCGCUGGUGGGCAUCCCGGUGUAUGAUGGCAACAGGAUGGAAUCGCUACACCAUCUGUUCAGCUUAUAUUUAGAUUUCAAGGACAUUCCAAGGUCUAUGUGAUAGUUACGACCGGCGGAUCAUAUACAUGCGAAAAGGCUUUAUCGCCAGAAAAUUGGCUCAGAUCUAUGGACUAAUGGUCUUGCGCAAGCAUACGGGAUUCAGCUUGGUGUUGCAAUUUGUACAUGUUAUCGAUUUUUUACUCAGUGAGCACGGCAGUGAGCACGCUGAGCAGAACGCAUGCGGCGCAUUAAAGGUUUGGUCCUGGGGGCGCCUGUACAGCAAGAAGAUUUUUGUACUCGUAAUGUCUAAUUACAUCCUCUUCAGUGCUGUGUGACUGGAGUAAAUAGGAAAAAAUAAAGCGCGAAACAAUU